UACGUAGGGCGCAAGCGUUGUCCGGAAUUAUUGGGCGUAAAGAGCUCGUAGGCGGUUUGUUACGUCCGCUGUGAAAACCCAGGGCUUAACCCUGGGCUUGCAGUGGAUACGGGCAGACUAGAGUGCGGUAGGGGUGACUGGAAUUCCUGGUGUAGCGGUGGAAUGCGCAGAUAUCAGGAGGAACACCGAUGGCGAAGGCAGGUCACUGGGCCGCAACUGACGCUGAGGAGCGAAAGCAUGGGGAGCGAACAGG
RNAcentral lists this ribosomal RNA (253 nucleotides) under uncultured bacterium. Its description in RNAcentral is "partial 16S ribosomal RNA". It matches the Rfam family "Bacterial small subunit ribosomal RNA", at positions 524 to 776 of the family's 1533-position model. The record is from RNAcentral.